UACGGAGGGUGCAAGCGUUAUCCGGAUUCAUUGGGUUUAAAGGGUACGUAGGUGGAUUUUUAAGUCAGAGGUGAAAUCCUGCAGCUCAACUGCAGAACUGCCUUUGAUACUGGAAAUCUUGAGUUUAGUUGAAGUGGGCGGAAUAUGACAUGUAGCGGUGAAAUGCAUAGAUAUGUCAUAGAACACCGAUAGCGAAGGCAGCUCACUAAACUUAGACUGACACUGAUGUACGAAAGCGUGGGGAGCGAACAGG
This 253-nucleotide ribosomal RNA is filed under the name uncultured bacterium. RNAcentral describes it as "partial 16S ribosomal RNA". It matches the Rfam family "Bacterial small subunit ribosomal RNA", at positions 524 to 776 of the family's 1533-position model. The record is from RNAcentral.